GCUCAGGACGAACGCUGGCGGCGUGCUUAACACAUGCAAGUCGAACGGAAAGGCCCUGCUUUUGUGGGGUGCUCGAGUGGCGAACGGGUGAGUAACACGUGAGUAACCUGCCCUUGACUUUGGGAUAACUUCAGGAAACUGGGGCUAAUACCGGAUAGGAGCUCCUGCUGCAUGGUGGGGGUUGGAAAGUUUCGGCGGUUGGGGAUGGACUCGCGGCUUAUCAGCUUGUUGGUGGGGUAGUGGCUUACCAAGGCUUUGACGGGUAGCCGGCCUGAGAGGGUGACCGGCCACAUUGGGACUGAGAUACGGCCCAGACUCCUACGGGAGGCAGCAGUGGGGAAUAUUGCACAAUGGGCGGAAGCCUGAUGCAGCAACGCCGCGUGCGGGAUGACGGCCUUCGGGUUGUAAACCGCUUUCGCCUGUGACGAAGCGUGAGUGACGGUAAUGGGUAAAGAAGCACCGGCUAACUACGUGCCAGCAGCCGCGGUGAUACGUAGGGUGCGAGCGUUGUCCGGAUUUAUUGGGCGUAAGGGCUCGUAGGUGGUUGAUCGCGUCGGAAGUGUAAUCUUGGGGCUUAACCCUGAGCGUGCUUUCGAUACGGGUUGACUUGAGGAAGGUAGGGGAGAAUGGAAUUCCUGGUGGAGCGGUGGAAUGCGCAGAUAUCAGGAGGAACACCAGUGGCGAAGGCGGUUCUCUGGGCCUUUCCUGACGCUGAGGAGCGAAAGCGUGGGGAGCGAACAGGCUUAGAUACCCUGGUAGUCCACGCUGUAAACGGUGGGUACUAGGUGUGGGGUCCAUUCCACGGGUUCCGUGCCGUAGCUAACGCUUUAAGUACCCCGCCUGGGGAGUACGGCCGCAAGGCUAAAAACUCAAAGGAAUGGACGGGGCCCCGCACAAGCGGCGGAGCAUGCGGAUUAAUUCGAUGCAACGCGUAGAACCUUACCUGGGUUUGACAUGGAUCGGGAGUGCUCAGAGAUGGGUGUGCCUCUUUUGGGGUCGGUUCACAGGUGGUGCAUGGCUGUCGUCAGCUCGUGUCGUGAGAUGUUGGGUUAAGUCCCGCAACGAGCGCAACCCUUGUUCACUGUUGCCAGCACGUUAUGGUGGGGACUCAGUGGAGACCGCCGGGGUCAACUCGGAGGAAGGUGGGGAUGACGUCAAGUCAUCAUGCCCCUUAUGUCCAGGGCUUCACGCAUGCUACAAUGGCUGGUACAGAGAGUGGCGAGCCUGUGAGGGUGAGCGAAUCUCGGAAAGCCGGUCUCAGUUCGGAUUGGGGUCUGCAACUCGACCUCAUGAAGUCGGAGUCGCUAGUAAUCGCAGAUCAGCAACGCCGCGGUGAAUACGUUCCCGGGGCUUGUACACACCGCCCGUCAAGUCAUGAAAGUUGGUAACACCCGAAGCCGGUGGCCUAACCGUUGUGGGGGAGCCGUCGAAGGUGGGACUG
RNAcentral lists this ribosomal RNA (1441 nucleotides) under uncultured organism. Its description in RNAcentral is "SSU rRNA". It matches the Rfam family "Bacterial small subunit ribosomal RNA". The record is from RNAcentral.